RNAcentral lists this ribosomal RNA (500 nucleotides) under uncultured bacterium. Its description in RNAcentral is "bacterial SSU rRNA". It matches the Rfam family "Bacterial small subunit ribosomal RNA", at positions 8 to 525 of the family's 1533-position model. The record is from RNAcentral.
AGAGUUUGAUCCUGGCUCAGGACGAACGCUGGCGGCGCGCUUCACACAUGCAAGUCGAACGUGAAGCCCGGGCUUGCCCGGGUGGAAAGUGGCGAACGGGUGAGUAACACGUGAGCAACCUGCCCCGAAGACCGGGAUAACACCGGGAAACCGGUGCUAAUACCGGAUGCCCUCGCCGGACCGCAUGAUCCGGCGAGGAAAGCUCCGGCGCUUCGGGAUGGGCUCGCGGCCUAUCAGCUUGUUGGUGGGGUCAAGGCCCACCAAGGCGACGACGGGUAGCUGGUCUGAGAGGAUGUCCAGCCACACUGGGACUGAGACACGGCCCAGACUCCUACGGGAGGCAGCAGUGGGGAAUCUUGCGCAAUGGGCGAAAGCCUGACGCAGCGACGCCGCGUGCGGGAUGAAGGCCUUCGGGUUGUAAACCGCUUUCAGCAGGGACGAAAUUGACGGUACCUGCAGAAGAAGCCCCGGCCAACUACGUGCCAGCAGCCGCGGUAAUA